CCUACGGGAGGCAGCAGUAAGGAAUAUUGGUCAAUGGACGCAAGUCUGAACCAGCCAUGCCGCGUGCAGGAUGACGGCCCUCUGGGUUGUAAACUGCUUUUAUAGGGGACGAAAAAAGGGCUUUCUAGCUCGUCUGACGGUACCCUAGGAAUAAGCACCGGCUAACUCCGUGCCAGCAGCCGCGGUAAUACGGAGGGUGCAAGCGUUAUCCGGAUUUACUGGGUUUAAAGGGUGCGUAGGUGGGUCGGUAAGUCAGCGGUGAAAUCUUCGAGCUUAACUCGGAAACUGCCAUUGAUACUAUCGAUCUUGAAUCAUCUGGAGGUAAGCGGAAUAUGUCAUGUAGCGGUGAAAUGCUUAGAUAUGACAUAGAACACCAAUUGCGAAGGCAGCUUACUACGGAUGCAUUGACACUGAGGCACGAAAGCGUGGGGAUCAAACAGGAUUAGAUACCCUGGUAGUCCACGCCCUAAACGAUGGAUACUCGACAUUUGAGAUAUACUUUAAGUGUCUGAGCGAAAGCAUUAAGUAUCCCACCUGGGAAGUACGAUCGCAAGAUUGAAACUUAAAUGAAAUUGACGG
RNAcentral lists this ribosomal RNA (579 nucleotides) under uncultured bacterium. Its description in RNAcentral is "bacterial SSU rRNA". It matches the Rfam family "Bacterial small subunit ribosomal RNA", at positions 338 to 916 of the family's 1533-position model. The record is from RNAcentral.